This 790-nucleotide long non-coding RNA is filed under the name Homo sapiens (human). RNAcentral describes it as "HSALNT0019392". Lineage: Eukaryota; Metazoa; Chordata; Mammalia; Primates; Hominidae. The record is from RNAcentral.
AUUAAAUCAUGCAGAAGACAACAGUUUUGUGAUGUGGCAAUUUGGCCCAGCUGAACUUUUUUUUUUUUUUUUCCCCCAGAAUUCCUUCCCUGCCUGUUUCUAUUUAGGGAGGGUGGUUGUGAAGUAGCAGCCAUUUUGUUUUUAUGCUCAAAAUGUUGGGCAGGAUACUUUUGUAGCUCACAUAUGUUGUUGCUUCUCUGCUGGCUCAUUUGAUGGCUAUGGGGCAGCAGCUCAGCCUGCCACCACCUCUAGAUGUUUCUUCAGCUUCUCCAACUCCAAGGCUGGGAAGAAUAUGAAGUCAAGGAAGACCAUCCACAGAAAAGAUGCUUGCCAAACUCCCAGGUUCCUGGCAGAAUGAAUAAUGUGAAUAAAAUGCAUGUUUAGUCCAACAGUCCUUCUUAAGUGGUAUAUAAAUAAAUAGUAUACAAUAAUAGAUUUUGUAUGGUGCAAUUGUUUUUAUUCAGAAAUGUAGAUACAUAGAAAUACAGUAUCUUAAAAACAUAGGAAGUUCCAGGGCUGCCCACUUACUGCUUCCUGUAUCAGGCGGCAUGAGAGUUACUGAGGAUACAAAGAUGAGUGAGACACUGCCCUGUAAAGCCAUAAUUGAGUUCACCUUUAUGAAUCUGUGUCUUAAUUCUGACACAUCAUUUGAAAGUCAUUUUUGGGGUAAAGGGGAAGGAAUCAGGAGAAGAUUAGAAAAAUCUCCAAUGACAUCUUAAUUAUAAAGGUAGGGGAAGCUUUGUUUUGGAGGGCACUUUAUGUAGAACUAAAGUAUUUUACAUAAUCCUAG